RNAcentral lists this transfer RNA (68 nucleotides) under Ursus maritimus (polar bear). RNAcentral describes it as "tRNA (ENSUMAG00000000020.1)". The record is from RNAcentral. Lineage: Eukaryota; Metazoa; Chordata; Mammalia; Carnivora; Ursidae. RNAcentral also lists the same sequence under 1 other name.
CAUUGAGAAGCUAACAUAGCGUUAACCUUUUAAGUUAAAGACUGAGAAUGCAGACUUCUCCUUAAUGA